This is a non-coding RNA of Camellia sinensis, 518 nucleotides long. The record is from RefSeq and is a predicted model, not a curated record. Lineage: Eukaryota; Viridiplantae; Streptophyta; Magnoliopsida; Ericales; Theaceae.
GAUCUUCCUCUACUUCUAACAGAAACUACGGUUGCGGAUAGAGGAUCCACCGCGAAGAAAGCAUAUGGUGUACCUUGGAGGAGCAGUCCUUGCAGGAAUUAUGAAGGAUGCACCGGAGUUUUGGAUUAGCAGAGAAGAUUACCUGGAAGAGGGAAUUGCAUGUCUAAGCAAGUGUGGCCAAGCAUGAAUUUUUGGAUAGGAGAGAGUGUUAGCAUUUAAGUCUUCCAAGAGUUAGGUGGCUAUGCAGUGAUCUAUUUUUGUGAUAAUUCUAGCGAAAGUUUCGCUAUGCCAUAUGUAUCGCCCAAAAAAAAAAAUCUCACCAUGCCAUACCCCUAUCGCUAGGUAUAGGGAAAAAAUUAUGUAUUUUAAUGCUUCCCGCAUAUCUUUAUAUUGGUGGAGCAGAUGUCUAUCAUGUAUAUCAUUGUAACAAUUUUUGUGCUUGAAUUUUCCUUUUAUCCUAUUUGGUCAUAUAUAAUACAGGGAAAUAAAUGAACUUAUAGUUUUGGAGUUUCUAACCA